AGCCUACUAGCUCAAUUGGUAGAGCAUUGUGCAUAUGCACAAAGGAUGUGGGUUCAAAUCCCACGUAGGUUU
Spinacia oleracea (spinach) is the source of this 72-nucleotide non-coding RNA. The record is from Rfam. NCBI's taxonomy places the organism in Eukaryota, Viridiplantae, Streptophyta, Magnoliopsida, Caryophyllales, Amaranthaceae.